This is a long non-coding RNA of Helianthus annuus (common sunflower), 328 nucleotides long. RefSeq lists it as uncharacterized. NCBI's taxonomy places the organism in Eukaryota, Viridiplantae, Streptophyta, Magnoliopsida, Asterales, Asteraceae. The transcript has 5 exons. The record is from RefSeq and is a predicted model, not a curated record.
GCUGCAUGUUCUAAAACUUCAAACCUCUAAGCAUAUCUAGUAGAUUGGCGUGAAGGAAGAAGGCUCAAGUGCUAAGAAAACGGAAGGUUCACAAGAUCGAGGCGUGAAGGAAGAAGGCUCAAGUGCUAAGAAAACGGAAGGUUCACAAGAUCGAGGCGUGAAGGAAGAAGGCUCAAGUGCUAAGAAAACGGAAGGUUCACAAGAUCGAGGUAAAUCCUCGACUUAGGCGAUUGGACGGCUUGGAACGUGCACACUUGGUUUACGCCCGCCUCACGCUUCCGUUAUAAAUUACUUUUGAAAUGGGUCAAUUUUGUGGUCGUAUGUACUU